RNAcentral lists this ribosomal RNA (468 nucleotides) under uncultured bacterium. RNAcentral describes it as "partial 16S ribosomal RNA". It matches the Rfam family "Bacterial small subunit ribosomal RNA", at positions 28 to 507 of the family's 1533-position model. The record is from RNAcentral.
GAUGAACGCUGGCGGCGUGCUUAACACAUGCAAGUCGAACGGUGAAGGCGGAGCUUGCUCUGCUGGAUCAGUGGCGAACGGGUGAGUAACACGUGAGCAAUCUGCCCCUGACUCUGGGAUAAGCGCUGGAAACGGCGUCUAAUACUGGAUACGAGCUGCGAAGGCAUCUUCAGCAGCUGGAAAGAAUUUCGGUCAGGGAUGAGCUCGCGGCCUAUCAGCUUGUUGGUGAGGUAAUGGCUCACCAAGGCGUCGACGGGUAGCCGGCCUGAGAGGGUGACCGGCCACACUGGGACUGAGACACGGCCCAGACUCCUACGGGAGGCAGCAGCGGGGAAUAUUGCACAAUGGGCGAAAGCCUGAUGCAGCAACGCCGCGUGAGGGACGACGGCCUUCGGGUUGUAAACCUCUUUUAGCAGGGAAGAAGCGAAAGUGACGGUACCUGCAGAAAAAGCGCCGGCUAACUACGUG